GCCCUCGUAGCUCAGCAGGAUAGAGCAACGGCCUCCUAAGCCGUAGGCCGCCCGUUCGAAUCGGGCCGGGGGCACCA
RNAcentral lists this transfer RNA (77 nucleotides) under Pseudomonadota bacterium. RNAcentral describes it as "Proteobacteria bacterium (groundwater metagenome) tRNA-Arg". It matches the Rfam family "tRNA". Rfam says of the family: Transfer RNA (tRNA) molecules are approximately 80 nucleotides in length. Their secondary structure includes four short double-helical elements and three loops (D, anti-codon, and T loops). RNAcentral also lists the same sequence under 2 other names. Lineage: Bacteria; Pseudomonadati; Pseudomonadota. The record is from RNAcentral.